UAAUAAGUGUUUUAUGGCACUUUUUAACUCCAUAUCCACCUUGUGUGCAAUGUCAGUCGAUCUUCUUCAUGGAGAUCGACCAAACAUCAACCUUUAUUUUUUAACUCUUUGUCUGAAAAAUAUUAUGAAUAAACAAUUCAAAAUA
This 145-nucleotide unclassified non-coding RNA is filed under the name soil metagenome. RNAcentral's name for it is "partial internal transcribed spacer 1". The record is from RNAcentral.